GCUCAAGUGGCAGAGUGCUAGCCUUGAGCAAAAAGAAGCCAGGGAGACCUGAAACCGGAGUGGAGGGAGGAUCAGAGCUCAACUUGAGGAGAAGGAGUCGGAUAUUACAUUGAAAGUGGUUUGGAUAGAGAGUAGCCCAUGACAAGAACUUAGGUAACCAGUACUGGAGAA
Perognathus longimembris pacificus (Pacific pocket mouse) is the source of this 171-nucleotide long non-coding RNA. RefSeq lists it as uncharacterized. Lineage: Eukaryota; Metazoa; Chordata; Mammalia; Rodentia; Heteromyidae. The transcript is spliced from 2 exons. The record is from RefSeq and is a predicted model, not a curated record.